RNAcentral lists this unclassified non-coding RNA (322 nucleotides) under Hevea brasiliensis (rubber tree). Lineage: Eukaryota; Viridiplantae; Streptophyta; Magnoliopsida; Malpighiales; Euphorbiaceae. The record is from RNAcentral.
UUUUAAACCCAAAACCACCAAAAAUUUUCCUACAUGUUAUUCAAACUUCACCUCUUUGCCAACAAACUUCAUUAUUUCUCAAACAAACUUUACGCUGCUAACAUGAAACUAUUUCGUUAGCUCAAAACCAUCAAAUCCCUAAUUUUUCACUCCCUAGGCCACCACAAGCAAAUGUUAGCAGAGUACUCAAUCCUAGAACAAAAGACAUCACCAAAUGGAUUGGUGAUGAUAAUGAAUACAACAAUUUAAUCAGAUAAAAUGAAAGUUCAUAUUAACAUAGAUAGCUUACUUGAUAGCGCCAUAACCAAUGGCCUCAGCAGUC